RNAcentral lists this non-coding RNA (80 nucleotides) under Sulfurimonas sp. RNAcentral describes it as "c-di-GMP sequence". It matches the Rfam family "c-di-GMP-I riboswitch aptamer". Rfam says of the family: GEMM was predicted in a large-scale screen for bacterial structured RNA regulatory elements. Genes associated with GEMM are involved in a diverse array of functions, including chemotaxis regulation, signal transduction, secretion and chitin. The record is from RNAcentral. Lineage: Bacteria; Pseudomonadati; Campylobacterota; Epsilonproteobacteria; Campylobacterales; Sulfurimonadaceae.
UAAGUAUAAAGCUAAACUUAUCGUGAGGUAAGGACGGAAAGUUACGAAUCUUACAGCUGUAAGAUGGUCGAAUUGCAACU